UGCUUUGGGCAAAGCAAGCAGUCGAAACUGGAAUGGCACAAAGGUAAUUAGCAAGGCCCCUGUGCACAGAUGAUACACAAAUCUGUGAAGGGUUCCAUAUUUGA
Meriones unguiculatus (Mongolian gerbil) is the source of this 104-nucleotide small nuclear RNA. NCBI's taxonomy places the organism in Eukaryota, Metazoa, Chordata, Mammalia, Rodentia, Muridae. The record is from Ensembl.